GACGAACGCUGGCGGCGUGCCUAAUACAUGCAAGUAGAACGCUGAAGGAGGAGCUUGCUUCUCUGGAUGAGUUGCGAACGGGUGAGUAACGCGUAGGUAACCUGCCUGGUAGCGGGGGAUAACUAUUGGAAACGAUAGCUAAUACCGCAUAAGAGUAGAUGUUGCAUGACAUUCGCUUAAAAGGUGCAAUUGCAUCACUACUAGAUGGACCUGCGUUGUAUUAGGUGGUUGGUGGGGUAACGGCUCAACAACGCGACGAUACAUAGCCGGCCUGGGAGGGGGAUCGGCCCACACUGGAACGGAGAAACGGUCAAAACUCCUCCGGGGGGAGGCGGAGGGGAAUAUUGGGCAAUGGGGGAAGGCUUAACGGAGCAAGGCGGGGGGGGGGAGGAAGGUUUCGGGACGGUAAAACACGUUGUAUGGGAAGAAAGAGUAUGAGAGUGAAACGUUCACGUUUUGACGGUACCUUAACAGAAAGCGACGGCUAACUACGUG
Molecule: ribosomal RNA, 495 nt
Filed under: uncultured bacterium
Lineage: Bacteria
Description: partial 16S ribosomal RNA
Rfam family: Bacterial small subunit ribosomal RNA
Source: RNAcentral